RNAcentral lists this ribosomal RNA (435 nucleotides) under uncultured Pedobacter sp. Its description in RNAcentral is "bacterial SSU rRNA". It matches the Rfam family "Bacterial small subunit ribosomal RNA", at positions 358 to 790 of the family's 1533-position model. The record is from RNAcentral. Lineage: Bacteria; Pseudomonadati; Bacteroidota; Sphingobacteriia; Sphingobacteriales; Sphingobacteriaceae.
GGAAUAUUGGUCAAUGGAGGCAACUCUGAACCAGCCAUGCCGCGUGCAGGAAGACGGCCCUAUGGGUUGUAAACUGCUUUUAUCUGGGAAUAAACCUUUUUACGUGUAAGAAGCUGAAUGUACCAGAAGAAUAAGGAUCGGCUAACUCCGUGCCAGCAGCCGCGGUAAUACGGAGGAUCCAAGCGUUAUCCGGAUUUAUUGGGUUUAAAGGGUGCGUAGGCGGCCUGUUAAGUCAGAGGUGAAAGACGGUAGCUCAACUAUCGCAGUGCCUUUGAUACUGACGGGCUUGAAUAAACUAGAGGUAGGCGGAAUGAGACAAGUAGCGGUGAAAUGCAUAGAUAUGUCUCAGAACACCGAUUGCGAAGGCAGCUUACUAUGGUUUUAUUGACGCUGAGGCGCGAAAGCGUGGGGAUCAAACAGGAUUAGAUACCCUUG